CGGGGGGAGCAAGCGUUGUUCGGAUUUACUGGGCGUAAAGGGCGCGUAGGCGGCCACCGCAAGUCGACCGUGAAAUCUCCGGGCUUAACCCGGAAAGGUCAGCCGAUACUGCGGGGCUAGAGUGCAGAAGGGGCAACUGGAAUUCUCGGUGUAGCGGUGAAAUGCGUAGAUAUCGAGAGGAACACCUGCGGCGAAGGCGGGUUGCUGGGCUGACACUGACGCUGAUGCGCGAAAGCUAGGGGAGCGAACGGGAUUAGAUACCCCGGUAGUCCUAGCCUUAAACGAUGAAUGCUUGGUGUCUGGGGUUUUAUAGUCCCCGGGUGCCGUCGCUAACGCUUUAAGCAUUCCGCCUGGGGAGUACGGUCGCAAGACUG
RNAcentral lists this ribosomal RNA (374 nucleotides) under uncultured organism. RNAcentral describes it as "bacterial SSU rRNA". It matches the Rfam family "Bacterial small subunit ribosomal RNA", at positions 526 to 896 of the family's 1533-position model. The record is from RNAcentral.